Molecule: long non-coding RNA, 386 nt
Filed under: Solanum tuberosum (potato)
Lineage: Eukaryota; Viridiplantae; Streptophyta; Magnoliopsida; Solanales; Solanaceae
Description: long non-coding RNA (STUB_LNC007049)
Source: RNAcentral
UGCCUCAAGCACCAGAUUCUUCAAAGUCACUUACUUAUGACAACUAUCUGCUUUAUGGGCAAAAUGCACCAUUGGAUCCAUUUAGGAAUGUCAUAUCUCCUAUAGAUGUAUUGUGCUUAAAUUUGCUACUUUUUUUUUGACAAAGCAAUAGAUCUUUUUGGUUGCAGUCCUUCGCAAACUAAUUGUAUGGAUAGUCAUCAGAUUCUCUUUUGUGGGAUUGGUCCUAUUGCAGGGAAUUAUGUGUGAGAAGAUUUGUACGAUAGAAGUAAAUAAUUGGCGAGGACAAUAAUCUAGAGAACUUCAUUAUUUGUAUAUAUUAGUUAUCAUACUAUUUUUUUGGAUGUCGGGUGAUGAAGGUUGGGGUGGUACAAGGCAAGGUAAAGAAA